UACGUAGGGGGCAAGCGUUGUCCGGAAUCAUUGGGCGUAAAGAGCGUGUAGGCGGCUCGAUAAGUCCGCUCUGAAAGCCCGGGGCUCAACCCCGGGAGGCGGGCGGAUACUGUCGAGCUAGAGUCCGGAAGAGGCGAGUGGAAUUCCUGGUGUAGCGGUGAAGUGCGCAGAUAUCGGGAAGAACACCCAUGGCGAAGGCAGCUCUCUGGGACGGUACUGACGCUGAGACGCGAAAGCGUGGGGAGCAAACAGG
RNAcentral lists this ribosomal RNA (253 nucleotides) under uncultured bacterium. RNAcentral's name for it is "partial 16S ribosomal RNA". It matches the Rfam family "Bacterial small subunit ribosomal RNA", at positions 524 to 776 of the family's 1533-position model. The record is from RNAcentral.